Molecule: long non-coding RNA, 326 nt
Filed under: Mytilus galloprovincialis (Mediterranean mussel)
Lineage: Eukaryota; Metazoa; Mollusca; Bivalvia; Mytilida; Mytilidae
Source: RNAcentral
CUCUGUUCUUUUUAAAUUUGUUUGUUAUCCUGUAUUCUUUGUGUUUUACCAUUCCGUUAUUCUCUAUUCUCAUCUUUUUGGCCUAAUUUUCUCUUUUCUUUUUAAAUUUGUUAUUCUUUUUUUGCCCCACCUACGAUGUCUGUUCGUUCGUCUGUCCCACUUCAGGUUAAAGUCUUGGGGUUAAAGUUUUUGGUCAAGGUAGUUUUUGAUGAGGCUUGAAAGUUAGUACACAUGUUCCUUAUGAUAUGAUCUUUCUAAUUUUAAAGCCAAAUUUCACGGUCCACUAAACAUAGAAAAUGAAAGUGCGAGUUUCAGGUUAAAGUUUU